RNAcentral lists this long non-coding RNA (843 nucleotides) under Capra hircus (goat). Its description in RNAcentral is "lncRNA (ENSCHIG00010005622.1)". The record is from RNAcentral. Lineage: Eukaryota; Metazoa; Chordata; Mammalia; Artiodactyla; Bovidae.
CGACCCAGGGAUUGAACCUGGGUCUCCUACAUUGCAGGCAGGUUCUUUACCGUCUGAGCCACCAGGGAAGCCCCUCCCUCCAUUAGGUAAGCUCUUAUUUAUUAACCUUAAUGUCUCCUCUCACCAAUGGCAUCCUCGUUUUCUUCUACUCAGUCGGAUAUCGAGUAGAGUGGUUCUCAGUGGAGAGGGUAGUCCUGUUAUGGCUUCUCUGCCCGCAGGCUUUCUUGCUGUAAAAGGCCACGUCCCCAGAGACCAUUCACUUCUCUUGGCCUGGGGUGAUCCAGCAAGGGUGCCCGCAUCUUUAACAGAGCUGACCUCGAGGACAAGAGGGAUGGGAAACAGGGAGAUGUGUGCGUAAUUCCGGAGCUGAGAGGCGGCCGGCCCGGCUGUAAUAAAGCUGUCUGUUAGGAAGUUAUCUUUCAUAUGCAAUUGCUUCCCCUAAGCUCUUAAGCACAUUAACUGCACCUGUAAUUAUACACACCUCAGAAAAUGCAUAAAAGCUGCCUUCUUUGCCAGACUAAAUAAAACUGCAGUCUCCUUCAUAUCCUCUACUGCCUACUGUACCUUAACGUUAGGGGGGAAAAAAGGAAAGAGAAAUGAAGGAAAAGAGAAGAGGUAAUUGCCCAUUAGAGAGUUGGUUAUAAGUGAACUUUGCCUCUCAUUUCCAGCAUUAAUUUUGCUCUGUGUGAACUGCACUUGACACCGUUCCGCGGGCCCGAGAGUCCUGGCCACUCUUGGUGGCCUGCACAGCUACUCGCUGUCCAUUUGCAUGUCAGGCAGUGUGUGAGACCACAACAGCAACAUUUGCUGUGACUCAGGAUAGCUUUGCAUCAGAGUGGAAAA